Molecule: long non-coding RNA, 1690 nt
Filed under: Mus caroli (Ryukyu mouse)
Lineage: Eukaryota; Metazoa; Chordata; Mammalia; Rodentia; Muridae
Description: lncRNA (MGP_CAROLIEiJ_G0013658.1)
Source: RNAcentral
GUUUUUAAGUUCUCGCUCCCCAGCCAAAACCUAAACAAAGAUUCCGGUUACAGCUCUUUCAGCGGCGCACGGAGGGAAAGCGGAGGUCUCCUGGAUUCCCAGGUCUUAGGUCUCCCUAAUCCUCACCAAUAUUUCUCUCUACAUUUUCGAAAGGUUUUCCCGUUAAGAUAUUGAAGGGACAAACGAACGACUAGAUUUGAAAUCAAGGAUACAAGAAAAACGAAAAGGCUUCCGGGCUUAGAGAAGGAGGACCUCAGACUGGAGUCUAAAGGGCUGGUCUGGCGUCCGCCCUGCUCCCGGCGCCCGGCGGGACUGAGACCUCACCAGCGGCAUAAUUGCCUGUGUCCAGCACGCUCCAGGGGUUACCCCGUGGUGGGAAAAUAAAUCGGCCGUGCCUUGUUGGUGCCUUCCUAUUGGACUGAAAUUUCUAGAAGCCACUGUUCAUCAAAUGAAAACCAGAGAGGAAGGCCCACUAAGAGGUCUGCCAACACCGUGGAUUUCCUGGCUCUCUCCAAGGAUUGAAUGGGGUAGGAAAGAAAACUAUGUCUGUUCCGGGGCUGUGCGGCUCGCUUGCAAGUUCGGAGGCACUAAGUGUGCCCUGCUAAACCCUUGGGGUGGGGUGCAGGAAAGGGUCUGGAGCCCGUUGAGCCAGGCCUUCGUCUAGGAUCCAAGAAAGAAUCUACCCGACACUCAGAGCUUCCACCUUGGCGAAGAGCUUCCUAAUUGGACGGCGAGCUGCUGCGAAAUCUGCAGUCUUCUAAUUACCCUUCUCCUCCUCCUUGGCGAUUCCUAUCAAAGGCAUAAAAUGGUAUUUUCACACUCUGCUCGAAAGGCAGGAGCCGUUUAUGAACAUCAAGCAUCAAUGGGGCAGAAAAAGGCUGCAUUGACAGAGGUCUCUGGAGUUCGAUAUUUAAAAGCAAUAGAUCCGAAUUAGAAAAUUAUUACUGUAGUGAAAGUCCCCGCCAAUUUAACUAUUGAACUCUGCGCUUCUGAGCUCCUUGUGCUAACUACACUUUUGAAGGGACUUAUCCCGGAACUUGAGCAAAAGGCAGGUCAUACUCUGGUUCUCAGCUUCUAAUGUUGCCCUCUCUGGAGUUGCGAUCCUCCAGAGGGCUGGCAAGGACUCACAAAAUCCUAGUCUAGACAGGGCUGGAACCUGGGGAGAAGCCUAAGUGAAGUAGCUACAGUGUCCUGACCAAAGUCUAGCUUGGCACUUUCUCCAACCCAAGACCGGAGAGAUUCACUUCCUAGUACCGCGCCUCUGCACAGUCGACCCAAGGAUUCUGGGCGGUAAUGUAACCCAAGGAUUAUCUGCUGCACUAGGGUAAUGUGUGACCUUGGCUCCCAAGAAGGAACUGUCAAUGUCCCUGAUGUGAACGCUCAGUUUUGAUCACCCUGAAACUGCAUGCAAGACACUUUGGAUUGUUGCCCACUUCGUGUGCUCAUCGGAGUCUGGAAAGUGGAGAAAAGAGAGCGUCCAGAGGUUUUGUUUUGUUUUGUUGCUAAAAGCCGGAGGCUAGGAAUCUGCUUCUGCACUCUGUGGCACAGAGGGUGAAACUUGCUAACUUUGAGACUUAAACUGGAUCCAGUCUCAGGGGGAAAACAGAGGUGAGAUUAUUCUAGAAAGAGAAGGUCGCCAAGAAGGUGGAUGCCUGAACACCGAUCUGCGGAUUUUCUGCUAGUUGAGGCU